GUAUAUAAAGGUAUUUUUUUUAGUGAUAUCGUAAGUUAAACUCUUAAGUGCAAUAAGUCAAACAUGCGUUUGGAAAGCUUUAUGUAUAAAGGGUUGGUUGCAGUUUACUGUUAAAUAAUAUGGUGAAGUGAACUCAAGCUCUACAAUUCAAUACCGGAGCGCUGGUUGCGACCGCGUCAGAGAUCAUGUUACUUAAACCGCAAAACCGUCAACUGACUCUUUAAACAUCUAUUGUCUUGAGCGUUCUAUUUCAUAGAAUGUCAGAGAAUUGUGAGAAAAAAACAAUAAUGAACAGGAAAUUAAAGUUUACAAACGUUGAAAGAGAUACGCAGAUGUUGGAAUAAAUAAAUGUUUUAGCAACAUUAGCAUUCAAUCUCAUUGGACGUUCAUUGUCGUUGCAGUGUUUUUUAUUUGAUUUAUCUUUUAUAAUAUUUACGUGUAUAAAUAAACCGUUUGUUAUAAAAAUGGCACACCCUUUACUAGUAAUUGUGACUGGCGCAGUAAUAGCAGCGAUCUUUCUCGGCGUGAGAUAUGCGUUUAACCUCGAAGAUAAUCCUGAUGAAGAAUUGGUCACCGUUAUAAAUGAUAGCUGAAGCUUUAAACUCAUAAACGCCAUAAAUAUCUUCACUGUACCAUGUAAAUAACAAAUGUAGGUUUAUUUUUAUUUUAUAUUUACACCAGACCAGAACAGAAGAAGGAAAUGAGACACAUUUUAAAAUACAAAGACUUAUGUUCUGCCUGCUAGUUGCCUAUAUAUAGAAUAUUUGUCAAAUCCAUUUCUCUUCUAUCUAUCCUUUCCUUAUAAGAUAAAGGUGGAAAUGGUAAGAGGACUAAUAGUAGUCCUCCGCAACGUACACGCAUCACACGAAACGAGUGCUGACACUUCACCCCUAUCUUCUAUGUGGUCGUAGUAUUUCACUACGUCAGCCGGCCCAUUUGUGCAACAGAUGUUUUUGCCUUGAACAAGUGCUCACAGAAGUAUUCUUGUGUUUCUUUUGUUUACAUACAUAAGAACGCUUUGUCCUCGGUUGUAGACUGGACAUGGGCGAUAGGAAAAGCAUAUCGACAGUCGACAUUAUUUAUAUAAGCAUGUAUAAACAAAAUAAGUUAUUAAUUCCCAAUAAAGUGUUUUAGGGAGUUCUAAUAUGUAAUUAACAGAGCAGUGGUUAAAGUUAAUAUUAAAAGAAAAGGUAUUUGAUAUUGUUACUUAUAAUGUAUAAAUUUAUUAUUUUAUUAACAAUUAUGCGUGCGGAUUUGAAUGUGAUAUUGCAGUAUUUUAAGUAUUUAUUUUAAGAAGAUUUUUUUCAUAGUGUCUGUGCCAAAUGAAAUCAUAUUAAAUGAAUAUUAAAACAUGUGGUUACAAUGUUGUAUUUUUAUUAAAAUUAUAAUAACAUUCUUGUAGUGUUUUUUCAGAGUAUAAUUUAAAAGAAGUAAUAAUCGUGGCAUAGCGUGCUUGCUCGUUUUACAGAUAAAAGCAAGCGCAAGCGGAGGUAGAAUCGUUGAUGUUUCAAAGUGAGUUUCUACUGUAAGAACAACUGUUCAAAACCAUAUUGGCUCAAUUGUUUCAAAGGUUAUGAGAGGGACAAAACUAUUUUUUACAGUUGGUAGUGAAAACUGAUUGUAACAUGGUACGUCGUAACGUAUCAGCAAAUUAAAACUUAGCCUACAUUAGAGAGGAC
Papilio xuthus (Asian swallowtail) is the source of this 1679-nucleotide long non-coding RNA. RefSeq lists it as uncharacterized. The transcript is spliced from 2 exons. The record is from RefSeq and is a predicted model, not a curated record. NCBI's taxonomy places the organism in Eukaryota, Metazoa, Arthropoda, Insecta, Lepidoptera, Papilionidae.